RNAcentral lists this ribosomal RNA (387 nucleotides) under uncultured bacterium. RNAcentral's name for it is "bacterial SSU rRNA". It matches the Rfam family "Bacterial small subunit ribosomal RNA", at positions 30 to 417 of the family's 1533-position model. The record is from RNAcentral.
AUUGAACGCUGGCGGCAUGCCUUACACAUGCAAGUCGAGCGGCAGCACGGGAGCAAUCCUGGUGGCGAGUGGCGAACGGGUGAGUAAUGUAUCGGAACGUACCUUUCAGUGGGGGAUAACGUAGCGAAAGUUACGCUAAUACCGCAUAUUCUGUGAGCAGGAAAGCAGGGGAUCGCAAGACCUCGCGCUAUUGGAGCGGCCGAUGUCCGAUUAGGUAGUUGGUGGGGUAAAAGCCUACCAAGCCGACGAUCGGUAACUGGUCUGAGAGGACGACCAGUCACACUGGGACUGAGACACGGCCCAGACUCCUACGGGAGGCAGCAGUGGGGAAUUUUGGACAAUGGGGGCAACCCUGAUCCAGCAAUGCCGCGUGUGUGAAGAAGGCCU